ACUCCUACGGGAGGCAGCAGUGGGGAAUAUUGCACAAUGGGCGCAAGCCUGAUGCAGCCAUGCCGCGUGUGUGAAGAAGGCCUUCGGGUUGUAAAGCACUUUCAGUCGUGAGGAAGGUAGUGUAGUUAAUAGCUGCAUUAUUUGACGUUAGCGACAGAAGAAGCACCGGCUAACUCCGUGCCAGCAGCCGCGGUAAUACGGAGGGUGCGAGCGUUAAUCGGAAUUACUGGGCGUAAAGCGCAUGCAGGUGGUUUGUUAAGUCAGAUGUGAAAGCCCGGGGCUCAACCUCGGAAUAGCAUUUGAAACUGGCAGACUAGAGUACUGUAGAGGGGGGUAGAAUUUCAGGUGUAGCGGUGAAAUGCGUAGAGAUCUGAAGGAUACCGGUGGCGAAGGCGGCCCCCUGGACAGAUACUGACACUCAGAUGCGAAAGCGU
This 434-nucleotide ribosomal RNA is filed under the name uncultured bacterium. RNAcentral's name for it is "bacterial SSU rRNA". It matches the Rfam family "Bacterial small subunit ribosomal RNA", at positions 335 to 762 of the family's 1533-position model. The record is from RNAcentral.